GGGGAUGUAGCUCAGCUGGGAGAGCACCUGAUUUGCAUUCAGGGGGUCGCAGGUUCGAUUCCUGUCAUCUCCACCA
This 76-nucleotide transfer RNA is filed under the name Acidobacteriota bacterium. RNAcentral's name for it is "Acidobacteria bacterium (activated sludge metagenome) tRNA-Ala". It matches the Rfam family "tRNA". Rfam says of the family: Transfer RNA (tRNA) molecules are approximately 80 nucleotides in length. Their secondary structure includes four short double-helical elements and three loops (D, anti-codon, and T loops). The record is from RNAcentral. Lineage: Bacteria; Pseudomonadati; Acidobacteriota. RNAcentral also lists the same sequence under 5 other names.